CAGUCGCCACGGUAAUACGAAGGGGGCUAGCGUUACUCGGAAUGACUGGGCGUAAAGGGCGCGUAGGCGGAUGGCACAGUCAGAUGUGAAAUUCCCGGGCUUAACCUGGGGGCUGCAUUUGAUACGUGUUGUCUAGAGUGAGGAAGAGGGUCGUGGAAUUCCCAGUGUAGAGGUGAAAUUCGCAGAUAUUGGGAAGAACACCGGUGGCGAAGGCGGCGACCUGGUCCUUUACUGACGCUGAGGCGCGAAAGCGUGAGGAGCAAACAGGAUUAGAUACCCCAGUAGUCCCUGUCUCUUAUAC
This 301-nucleotide ribosomal RNA is filed under the name uncultured bacterium. RNAcentral's name for it is "partial 16S ribosomal RNA". It matches the Rfam family "Bacterial small subunit ribosomal RNA", at positions 509 to 807 of the family's 1533-position model. The record is from RNAcentral.